This 569-nucleotide ribosomal RNA is filed under the name Aeribacillus sp. KS03. Its description in RNAcentral is "bacterial SSU rRNA". It matches the Rfam family "Bacterial small subunit ribosomal RNA", at positions 221 to 780 of the family's 1533-position model. The record is from RNAcentral. Lineage: Bacteria; Bacillati; Bacillota; Bacilli; Caryophanales; Bacillaceae.
CAGGAUGGGCCCGCGGCGCAUUAGCUAGUUGGUGAGGUAACGGCUCACCAAGGCGACGAUGCGUAGCCGACCUGAGAGGGUGACCGGCCACACUGGGACUGAGACACGGCCCAGACUCCUACGGGAGGCAGCAGUAGGGAAUCUUCCGCAAUGGACGAAAGUCUGACGGAGCAACGCCGCGUGAGCGAAGAAGGUCUUCGGAUCGUAAAGCUCUGUUGUCAGGGAAGAACAAGUACCGUUCGAACAGGGCGGUACCUUGACGGUACCUGACGAGGAAGCCACGGCUAACUACGUGCCAGCAGCCGCGGUAAUACGUAGGUGGCAAGCGUUGUCCGGAAUUAUUGGGCGUAAAGCGCGCGCAGGCGGUUCCUUAAGUCUGAUGUGAAAUCUCGCGGCUCAACCGCGAGCGGCCAUUGGAAACUGGGGAACUUGAGUGCAGGAGAGGGGAGCGGAAUUCCACGUGUAGCGGUGAAAUGCGUAGAGAUGUGGAGGAACACCAGUGGCGAAGGCGGCUCUUCUGGCCUGUAACUGACGCUGAGGCGCGAAAGCGUGGGGAGCGAACAGGAUUA